UCCUCAAUUCCCACAAAAGAAGCACUGAACUUAAGCAGCCUCAUCUCCUCCUCCAGAUCUCAGACCUCUGCUAGUCUGCUCGGCGCCUCAUCUCCACGCACGUCGCACAGCCCACUGCCGGCGCACAUGCCACCGCCGUCGCACAUGCCACCGCCGUCGCACAAACAACUGCCGUCGCACAAGCAACUGCAGUCGCACAGGCCACCACCGUCGCACAGGCCGUCGCCGUUGCACAGCCCACCGCCCUCGCACUCCAGAUCUCAGCCCUCUGUUAGUCUGCUAAGCGCCUCAUCUCCAGGCACGUCGAAUAGGCCACCGCCGUCACACUCCAGAUCUCACGCCACCACCGUCGCACUCCAGAUCUCACGCCACCACCGUCGCACUCCAGAUCUCACGCCACCGCCAUCGCACACGGAGCCUCCGCUCCACGACAGCAGCGUGGUAAGGCUACAUCUCGCGGUGACAACAUCUCCAGACCAUUUUUAGAUGGACGAUGUGGACGGUAGCUUCGAUUUGGUGUCGUUGAAUAAAUUCGCUGCUGGGGAAAGCUGUUGGGACAUAAAUGCCUGGGGAAAGCGGAAGAGGAAGAAGAAUGCCAUAUUGAAAAGACUAAUUUACCCCUACAUUUAACGUCUCAUUAACUGGACAUAAACGGAAUGGAACAAUUUCAAAA
Ipomoea triloba (trilobed morning glory) is the source of this 673-nucleotide long non-coding RNA. RefSeq lists it as uncharacterized. Lineage: Eukaryota; Viridiplantae; Streptophyta; Magnoliopsida; Solanales; Convolvulaceae. The transcript has 2 exons. The record is from RefSeq and is a predicted model, not a curated record.